AAAAAAAGCAACCCUGGAUUUCUGUGUCCAUCCGUGUUAUAUGAAUUUUUUUAUAAUUCGUAUUUUCAUUGUUAUUAGAUGAUAGAACAUGAUUAAUAUUUUAUACGUGACUUGUCUUUUUAUUUUUUUUCAUAAUUUUUUCAAAUAAGACGGACGGUUAAACGCUGGACACGGAAAUCAGGGUUUGUCUUUUU
Oryza rufipogon (brownbeard rice) is the source of this 194-nucleotide microRNA precursor. It matches the Rfam family "MIR812 microRNA precursor family". The record is from Rfam. NCBI's taxonomy places the organism in Eukaryota, Viridiplantae, Streptophyta, Magnoliopsida, Poales, Poaceae.